AAGUCGUAACAAGGUUUCCGUAGGUGAACCUGCGGAAGGAUCAUUAAUGAAAUGCUAGGGCGCUCUUUUUAGAGGUCUGACCUAUUCAUUUUCUCACACUGUGCACAUACUAUUUACACCCUUUUUUAACACUAAAGUAAUAAGAAUGUCAAUCGUCUCUUAAUUGAGCCAUCAAUUGUAAUAA
This 184-nucleotide unclassified non-coding RNA is filed under the name plant metagenome. RNAcentral describes it as "partial contains small subunit ribosomal RNA and internal transcribed spacer 1". The stretch from base 1 to 46 matches the Rfam family "Eukaryotic small subunit ribosomal RNA", at positions 1786 to 1831 of the family's 1831-position model. The record is from RNAcentral.